RNAcentral lists this ribosomal RNA (493 nucleotides) under uncultured bacterium. Its description in RNAcentral is "bacterial SSU rRNA". It matches the Rfam family "Bacterial small subunit ribosomal RNA", at positions 30 to 518 of the family's 1533-position model. The record is from RNAcentral.
UGAACGCUAGCGGCAGGCUAACACAUGCAAGUCGAGGGGCAUCGGGAGUAGCAAUACUGCCGGCGACCGGCGCAAGGGUGCGUAACGCGUGAGCAACAUGCCCGUAUCAGGGGGAUAAUCCAUGGAAACGUGGUCUAAUACCCCAUAGUAAUUAUGUAAGGCAUCUUAUAUAAUUUAAAGCUUUGGUGGAUACGGAUUGGCUCGCGUGACAUUAGCUGGAUGGUAAGGUAACGGCUUACCAUGGCUACGAUGUCUAGGGGUUCUGAGAGGAAGGUCCCCCCACACUGGAACUGAGACACGGUCCAGACUCCUACGGGAGGCAGCAGUGAGGAAUAUUGGACAAUGGAUGGAAAUCUGAUCCAGCCAUGCCGCGUGCAAGGAAGACGGCCCUAUGGGUUGUAAACUGCUUUUGUAUGGGAGCAAUAAGGGCUACGUGUAGUCCGAUGAGAGUACCAUACGAAUAAGCACCGGCUAACUCCGUGCCAGCCGCAGC